Molecule: ribosomal RNA, 257 nt
Filed under: uncultured bacterium
Lineage: Bacteria
Description: partial 16S ribosomal RNA
Rfam family: Bacterial small subunit ribosomal RNA
Source: RNAcentral
UACGUAGGGUGCAAGCGUUAAUCGGAAUUACUGGGCGUAAAGCGUGCGCAGGCGGUUAUGUAAGACAGUUGUGAAAUCCCCGGGCUCAACCUGGGAACUGCAUCUGUGACUGCAUAGCUAGAGUACGGUAGAGGGGGGAUGGAAUUCCGCGUGUAGCAGUGAAAUGCGUAGAUAUGCGGAGGAACACCGAUGGCGAAGGCAAUCCCCCUGGACCUGUACUGACGCUCAUGCACGAAAGCGUGGGGGAGCAAACGAGG